This 468-nucleotide ribosomal RNA is filed under the name uncultured bacterium. RNAcentral's name for it is "partial 16S ribosomal RNA". It matches the Rfam family "Bacterial small subunit ribosomal RNA", at positions 28 to 507 of the family's 1533-position model. The record is from RNAcentral.
GACGAACGCUGGCGGCGUGCUUAACACAUGCAAGUCGAACGGGAAGGCCCGGCUUUGGUGGGGUGCUCGAGUGGCGAACGGGGGAGUAACACGUGAGUAACCUACACUUGACUGUGGGGUAUGUUCAGAACACUGGGUCUCAUACCGGAAAGGAGCUCCUGCUGCAGGGUGGGGGCGGGAUGGAUUCGGCGGUUGGGGAUGGACUCGCGGCCUAUCAGGUUGAUGGAGAGGUAGUGGCUUACCAUGGCUAUGAAGCGUAGCCGGGCUGAGCGGGUGACCUGCCCCGUUAGGAUUGGACUGCGGCCCAGACUCCUACGGGACGCAGCAGAGGGGAAUAGUGCACAAUGGGCGGAACCAUGAUGUAGUCAAGCCGCGUCGCGGAUGACGUCCUUGGGUUUGUAUUCCGAUUUCGCCUGUGCCGAAGCGUGAGUGACGGUAAUGGGUAAAGAAGCACCGGCUAACUCCGUG